CAAAGGUUUGGUCCUAGCCUUGAAAUCAGUUAUUACUUAAUAUACACAUGCAAGUCUCCGCACCCCUGUGAAAACGCCCUUUAAUUUUCCUAUAGAAAACAGGAGCCGGUAUCAGGCACAACAUUUUUGCCCAAAACACCUAGCCUCGCCACACCCACAAGGGACCUCAGCAGUGAUAAACAUUGAGCAUGAGCGACAGCUUGACUCAGUUAAAUAAGUUAGAGCCGGCCAAUCUGGUGCCAGCCGCCGCGGUUACACCAUUGUGGCUCAAAUUGAUCUCCUCCGGCGUAAAGCGUGAUUUAAGUUUUAUUACUUUUGGAGUUAAACUGGAACUAAGCCGUGACACGCUUGUUAACUAAGAAAACCAGAAACGAAAGUUACUCCAAUUAAGCCAACUUGAAUUCACGACAACUAAGAAACAAACUGGGAUUAGAUACCCCACUAUGCUUUAGUCGUAAACUUUAACUUACAUGCCCCCUUCGCCUGGGAACUACGAGCAAAGCUUAAAACCCAAAGGACUUGACGGUACCCCAUAUCCCCCUAGAGGAGCCUGUCCUAUAAUCGAUACCCCCCGUUUAACCUCACCACUUUUAGUCUCUCAGCCUGUAUACCUCCGUCGUCAGCUUACCGCAUGAGCGUUAGUGAGCUUAAUGUUUCUUCAACUAAACGUCAGGUCAAGGUGCAACACAUAAUGUGGGAAGAGAUGGGCUACACUUUCUAGUAUAGACUACACGAAAGACUAUUUAUGAAACCUAGUCAGAAGGCGGAUUUAGUAGUAAAACGGAACAAGAGAGUCCUUUUUAACCUGGCACUGGGGUGUGUACACACCGCCCGUCACCCUCCUCAAUGCACAAAUAAGUUUUUAACUCACUUUAGCUAUACAGAAGAGGCAAGUCGUAACAUGGUAAGUAUACCGGAAGGUGUGCUUGGAAACAA
Molecule: non-coding RNA, 936 nt
Filed under: Hyloxalus yasuni
Lineage: Eukaryota; Metazoa; Chordata; Amphibia; Anura; Dendrobatidae
Description: 12S ribosomal RNA
Rfam family: Bacterial small subunit ribosomal RNA
Source: RNAcentral